AGUUCCAGUGGCCUAGUGGUUAGAGCGUCCAACUCGGAUACAGGAGGUCGUGGGUUCGAUUCCCGGUGGAGUCA
Molecule: non-coding RNA, 74 nt
Organism: Potamilus streckersoni
Lineage: Eukaryota; Metazoa; Mollusca; Bivalvia; Unionida; Unionidae
Source: the annotation of a GenBank genome assembly